Long non-coding RNA from Bos taurus (domestic cattle), 1720 nucleotides. The record is from Ensembl. NCBI's taxonomy places the organism in Eukaryota, Metazoa, Chordata, Mammalia, Artiodactyla, Bovidae.
GGAACCUUCCAUGAGCCAGGCAGCGUGAAGGACUGGGGAGGCAACAGUGAGCAACACGAAAUGUUCCCUCUCUUCACAGAGCUUGGAUCUCGAUGAUGAUAGCAGCUCAUCUUUAUAGAACACUGAGUGUUCUGCACUUUACAUGGUGCAUCUCAUGUCAUCCUCAAAAACGGGUGCUUCCUUAUGUGUGCUUUCUUCAUGAGUAUUCUCCAGCAACACCUGCCCUCAGUCCCUUUCUCCAGACCCCGGCCCUGUUGACCAAGCUUGGUGCUUCCCUGUGUGGCCCACGGUGGCGUGGUGUGGCCCGUCUCCUUGGGAACUUACACUCAAGCAGGGCCACUAGGCCUCAAGAGAGUAUACCGAAAACUGGAAAAUGACCUUCUUGUCCUCUCUCUGCACUCUUCCUUCACAAGUGAGGGUUUCUGUGAUCACCACCUCUGCUGUUACCUUGGAGACCAGAGAAUAAAUAGAUUCCAAAUGCAGGUGGUGUCUUAUCCAAAUGAAGAUGCAACUUACAUUCUUCUUGAAAGACAAGGACAAUUCUCAAAGCAUCUUCUGAGGGCAGAGGACAACUGACACUUUGUACGGAUGCUGCGGAGACCAUCCUGAGCUGCUUGGCGCUGCCUGUGUGGAGACAGAUAACGAGCUCCAAUACUUUGGCCACCUGAUGUGAAAAACUGACUCACUGGAAAAGACCCUGAUGCUGGGAAAGAUUGAAGGCAGGAGGAGAAGGGGACAACAGAGGAUGAGAUGGUUGGAUGGCAUCACCGACUCGAUGAACAUGAGUUUGAGCAAACUCCAGGAGCUGGUGAUGGACAGGGAAGCCUGGCAUGCUGUGGUCCAUGGGGUCGCAAAGAGUCGGACACAACUGAGCAGCUGAACUGAACUGAACUGAAGAGACUAUACAAUAAACCUGUAUGUCUCCACUGUGAACUACCAGAGUGGAAUUCUAUCAUCACUUUUAUUUUGGUUUGGAGCUGGCUGGCAGAACUCAAAACUCUUGGGGUAGCUUUUAGGAUUAUUUCUCAGCUGGACAGGUUCAUACAUGAAUCCCAGAGAAUGGUGACAUUCUUCUUUGGAAAGCAUUGGGUAGUACAGGAAUUCUCAUCUCUACAAUCAAAAGGCAUCAAAAAUAAAUUUGGAUUUAAAAAAAAAAAGGGUCAUUGUAGAGGGUCUCAGAUUCACACUGGUUCAUCGGAUGAAUUAUAGUUAUGUCAUCCGUGUCGGUAACUCUGUGUUAGAAAGCAGUCAAUGCAAUAUCUGCAGUACAAAUUACAGACUUUGAUCCCAAUGAGCCCGUUAGAACAGAGAACUAGGUUUGCUCUUUUUAUUUUAUAUCUCCAAAUGUUUCAGAGUGAAGAGAUGAGAAAGUGCAUUGAAUCCUUCUGUUCCCUCUUUAUCCGUCUCUAAAUGGGAUCUUAGGACUGCGUGUGCUUACCUCGCCUUUUAUCCAGCCUGCAGCGAGGCUCAUCUGCAAGCAAAAAUUACCUUGCCCAAGUAUUCUUAGGAGAAAUAAUUAGCCACAAGCCCCUCCUCCGCACACUCUCCCACAUUCCUCGGGAGGCCCAGAUGCCUGACAUAAAUCAUUUAGUCCUGAGCCCUCGCAUACACCUUUCCCACUGGAUUCCAUAAUUGGCAAAGUAGUUGCCAACUGGGUUUAAAGUGAUUUGAAAUUGUUUUCCAUCCAGUCUUGCUGAUAGCAAAAGGUUUCCCCUUUACC